CGGACGAGAAGGUUCCUUCGGGAACUGGAGAGUGGCGCACGGGUGAGUAACGCGUGGGGACCUACCUCUUAGUGGGGGAUAACGGUUGGAAACGACCGCUAAUACCGCAUACGCCCUUCGGGGGAAAGAUUUAUCGCUAAGAGAUGGACCCGCGUUGGAUUAGAUAGUUGGUGAGGUAACGGCUCACCAAGUCAGCGAUCCAUAGCUGGUUUGAGAGGAUGAUCAGCAACACUGGGACUGAGACACGGCCCAGACUCCUACGGGAGGCAGCAGUGGGGAAUCUUAGACAAUGGGCGCAAGCCUGAUCUAGCCAUGCCGCGUGUGUGAUGAAGGCCCUAGGGUCGUAAAGCACUUUCGCCAGGGAUGAUAAUGACAGUACCUGGUAAAGAAACCCCGGCUAACUCCGUGCCAGCAGCCGCGGUAAUACGGAGGGGGUUAGCGUUGUUCGGAAUUACUGGGCGUAAAGCGCACGUAGGCGGACUAUUAAGUCAGGGGUGAAAUCCCGGGGCUCAACCCCGGAACUGCCCUUGAUACUGGUAGUCUUGAGUUCGAGAGAGGUGAGUGGAAUUCCGAGUGUAGAGGUGAAAUUCGUAGAUAUUCGGAGGAACACCAGUGGCGAAGGCGGCUCACUGGCUCGAUACUGACGCUGAGGCGCGAAAGUGUGGGGAGCAAACAGGAUUAGAUACCCUGGUAGUCCACAC
This 701-nucleotide ribosomal RNA is filed under the name uncultured Paracoccaceae bacterium. RNAcentral describes it as "bacterial SSU rRNA". It matches the Rfam family "Bacterial small subunit ribosomal RNA", at positions 63 to 800 of the family's 1533-position model. The record is from RNAcentral. Lineage: Bacteria; Pseudomonadati; Pseudomonadota; Alphaproteobacteria; Rhodobacterales; Paracoccaceae.